GGGAAACUGGGUCUAAUACUGGAUACGACCGAUCUCCGCAUGGAGUGUUGGUGGAAAGUUUUUGUGGUGGGGGAUGGACUCGCGGCCUAUCAGCUUGUUGGUGGGGUAAUGGCCUACCAAGGCGACGACGGGUAGCCGGCCUGAGAGGGCGACCGGCCACACUGGGACUGAGACACGGCCCAGACUCCUACGGGAGGCAGCAGUGGGGAAUAUUGCACAAUGGGCGAAAGCCUGAUGCAGCGACGCCGCGUGAGGGAUGACGGCCUUCGGGUUGUAAACCUCUUUCACCAGGGACGAAGCUAACGUGACGGUACCUGGAGAAGAAGCACCGGCUAACUACGUGCCAGCAGCCGCGGUAAUACGUAGGGUGCGAGCGUUGUCCGGAAUUAUUGGGCGUAAAGAGCUUGUAGGCGGUCUGUCGCGUCUGCUGUGAAAGACCGGGGCUUAACUCCGGUUCUGCAGUGGGUACGGGCAGACUAGAGUGUGGUAGGGGAGACUGGAAUUCCUGGUGUAGCGGUGAAAUGCGCAGAUAUCAGGAGGAACACCGAUGGCGAAGGCAGGUCUCUGGGCCAUUACUGACGCUGAGAAGCUAAAG
This 595-nucleotide ribosomal RNA is filed under the name Dermacoccus nishinomiyaensis. Its description in RNAcentral is "bacterial SSU rRNA". It matches the Rfam family "Bacterial small subunit ribosomal RNA", at positions 151 to 759 of the family's 1533-position model. The record is from RNAcentral. Lineage: Bacteria; Bacillati; Actinomycetota; Actinomycetes; Micrococcales; Dermacoccaceae.